RNAcentral lists this small nuclear RNA (136 nucleotides) under Zalophus californianus (California sea lion). RNAcentral's name for it is "U2 spliceosomal RNA (ENSZCAG00015004428.1)". It matches the Rfam family "U2 spliceosomal RNA". Rfam says of the family: U2 is a small nuclear RNA (snRNA) component of the spliceosome (involved in pre-mRNA splicing). Complementary binding between U2 snRNA (in an area lying towards the 5' end but 3' to hairpin I) and the branchpoint sequence (BPS) of the intron results the bulging out of an unpaired adenosine, on the BPS, which initiates a nucleophilic attack at the intronic 5' splice site, thus starting the first of two transesterification reactions that mediate splicing. Lineage: Eukaryota; Metazoa; Chordata; Mammalia; Carnivora; Otariidae. The record is from RNAcentral.
AUCGCUUCUCGGCCUUUUGGCUAAGAUCAAGUGUAGAAUUGAUCACUUCCUCGAUUCUGGAAUGCUUCCUUCGCUUGGCUUGCUGGUUACCACAUCGUCUUGGUUUUUCUCCUACUCUCUGCUGUGUGUGCUUUUC